CCGGCCGAUGCCGGGCACUCACACCCGGGCCCGGGGGGCUGGGGGGCCUGGGGGCCCGGGGUCCAGCACCCGGUGGUGCACAGGCAGCGGGUGGGGAGCGACGCCUCGCUUCGAAAUUGUCUCUACUGCCUUUCCCGCCAUCAGAGAACCCCGAAAGGCCUGGAAGAAACCCCACUGUGGGCGGGGCCUGAGACCUUCUCCUGAAGGGUCGGGAGCAGGCUCGGCAGACAUCAAGCUCCAUUUUUGUGCUAUCCGUCCAGCAUCUUCCACACUGCCAGGCACAGACAGACCAGGUUUCUGAAAUAACUGGUGGAGGAACACUCAGGACAGUCCUUUGGGGGUAGAUUUGAUCAUCCCAUUGAGACAUGGGACUUGCUGAGGAGCACAGAAUGAAGAUACAGAAUGGAAGUGGACACCCCCCCCACCCUCGGAUUUGUGACUCAGUUUGGAGUGGGACCCUUCUAGUAAGUUCUCUGGUCAUUCUGAUGCUCCUGGUCUGGGACUUUGAGAACCAAUGAUGUUGAAGUCUUGAAGCUCAUCCCAGCUGCAUCUGACUUCAAAGCCUCCAUGAUCUAUGAGAUCCACUGGGGUGUAGGGUCAGCUGGACCUUAUGAGCACCUCUGGGAGAGGGGUACUGUCCCCGGUGGUUGUGCCUAUCAGAACACUAUGUGCCUGAGUCAAAUGUUGGGGUGACCUAUGGACAGAAGACCCCGAAACACUGGGUGGAGAUCAUCGGUAGGGACAGUCCUUUCCUCCCACACCCCCCCCCCACUCCACCCACACACACAGACUCACUUGCUGUGCCCAGGAGUUAAAUUACUGCCUGAUCUUAUCCCUGACUUGUGCUAAAUUA
Leptonychotes weddellii (Weddell seal) is the source of this 853-nucleotide long non-coding RNA. RefSeq lists it as uncharacterized. The record is from RefSeq and is a predicted model, not a curated record. Lineage: Eukaryota; Metazoa; Chordata; Mammalia; Carnivora; Phocidae.